GGUUCCAUAGUGUAGUGGUUAGCACGUCUGUUUUCCACGCAGAAGGUCCUGGGUUCGUGCCCCAGUGGAGCCA
RNAcentral lists this transfer RNA (73 nucleotides) under Pteropus alecto (black flying fox). It matches the Rfam family "tRNA". From Rfam's summary of the family: Transfer RNA (tRNA) molecules are approximately 80 nucleotides in length. Lineage: Eukaryota; Metazoa; Chordata; Mammalia; Chiroptera; Pteropodidae. The record is from Rfam by way of RNAcentral. RNAcentral also lists the same sequence under 1 other name.